UAAUAGGAACAAAUUGGUCUCCCUGGUGUGCAUGCUCGAUUCCUCCAUUCCUAAGGUCUCAAGAUGUGUGUUUACAAUGGCCUCCUUAAAGGCGUAUAUUUUUAAUAUCUGAAUAUUGAAUUUCACAGAACAUAGGAGGCAUGCAUAACACUUUCUGUCAGCUGACUUAUACAAAUUCUGGUGGUCGCUGAUACUGGAAUCAAGCAACAACAUUCUGAUAAUCUACCGGAUGGAGUACCAGAUCAUAAGGUAUAAAAUUAAGAAGCAUUCCAUUAUAUACGUAGAGGAACGGUGAAUCAGAAUGCCAAUAUGAGGAUGAAGGUCAUGUAUGCCUCAUUUGACGAUGGUGAUGCAAAGCUAGACGAAGUGAAGAUGGUCUAAGGUUUUGAGAUCACUCUCAAGAAGCUAACUAAUUAGCUGGGAAUGAACAUCACCAAAAUGACUAAAAUCUAUUUCGCUGGCUCAUCGCCUAAUCAUACUGGGAAAGCGUGUGGGGUGGAGUCGACAACUAGGCGUAGCCGAUCCCGGAUGCUGGGGACGAAGAUGUCACCACAGACUGCAGCAUGAUAGGCAAUGCUGGAGAUAUCUUCAGAACACUGGAGACGACGCCCCAGAUUGCCAACACCAGCUCUACGUGGGCUGUACACUUUGGUAUUUCACAGGUGCUAUUGGCAUAUGAAACUGAUGUCAAUCAGUGACGCCCAGUGUAUGAACUAACAACAAAGAAAACUCUUGCAUCAUCAUUGUACUUCAUAAACUACUUUUGAUUGACUAUGAAAAAUAUACC
Long non-coding RNA from Lolium rigidum, 787 nucleotides. RefSeq lists it as uncharacterized. Lineage: Eukaryota; Viridiplantae; Streptophyta; Magnoliopsida; Poales; Poaceae. The record is from RefSeq and is a predicted model, not a curated record. The transcript is spliced from 3 exons.